UAGGGAAUCUUCGGCAAUGGACGAAAGUCUGACCGAGCAACGCCGCGUGAGUGAAGAAGGUUUUCGGAUCGUAAAACUCUGUUGUUAGAGAAGAACAAGGACGUUAGUAACUGAACGUCCCCUGACGGUAUCUAACCAGAAAGCCACGGCUAACUACGUGCCAGCAGCCGCGGUAAUACGUAGGUGGCAAGCGUUGUCCGGAUUUAUUGGGCGUAAAGCGAGCGCAGGCGGUUUCUUAAGUCUGAUGUGAAAGCCCCCGGCUCAACCGGGGAGGGUCAUUGGAAACUGGGAGACUUGAGUGCAGAAGAGGAGAGUGGAAUUCCAUGUGUAGCGGUGAAAUGCGUAGAUAUAUGGAGGAACACCAGUGGCGAAGGCGGCUCUCUGGUCUGUAACUGACGCUGAGGCUCGAAAGCGUGGUGAGCAAACGGG
Molecule: ribosomal RNA, 429 nt
Filed under: Gemmatimonadota bacterium
Lineage: Bacteria; Pseudomonadati; Gemmatimonadota
Description: Gemmatimonadetes bacterium partial 16S ribosomal RNA
Rfam family: Bacterial small subunit ribosomal RNA
Source: RNAcentral